This 476-nucleotide long non-coding RNA is filed under the name Olea europaea (common olive). RNAcentral's name for it is "long non-coding RNA (OEUR_LNC009079)". Lineage: Eukaryota; Viridiplantae; Streptophyta; Magnoliopsida; Lamiales; Oleaceae. The record is from RNAcentral.
UCACACGUUAAGGUAUAAUGGAUUGAAAAAAUUAAAUCAAGGAAAAGAAAAUGACACAGCGUAGAUCAGAAUAAUUAUUUCAAGAUUGUAUAUAUUAUCAAAAUAGCAUGGAAUUCAUCAUCAGGGGAAAGAGAUCAAAUGUUACAAUUAACAUCUCAAAGGUGCAAACCUUUUCCAGACCAAUCAUACGCAUGUCAUAGACUAAAAGUGCAGCAUAAAUGCUGGGUGGAAGGCUGAAAGCUAUCAAAAUUUGCCCUAAGAUACUACAGUUAGUCUGGAGAUCAGAAUAAUUAUUUCAAGAUUGUAUAUAUUAUCAAAAUAGCAUGGAAUUCAUCAUCAGGGGAAAGAGAUCAAAUGUUACAAUUAACAUCUCAAAGGUGCAAACCUUUUCCAGACCAAUCAUACGCAUGUCAUAGACUAAAAGUGCAGCAUAAAUGCUGGGUGGAAGGCUGAAAGCUAUCAAAAUUUGCCCUAAG